GACGAACGCUGGCGGCGUGCUUAACACAUGCAAGUCGAGCGGUAAGGCCCUUUCGGGGGUACACGAGCGGCGAACGGGUGAGUAACACGUGGGUGACCUGCCCUUAGCUCUGGGAUAAGCCUGGGAAACUGGGUCUAAUACCGGAUAUGACUCCAUGACGCAUGUUGUGGGGUGGAAAGCCUUGUGCGGCUAGGGAUGGGCCUGCGGCCUAUCAGCUUGUCGGUGGGGUGAUGGCCUACCAAGGCGACGACGGGUAGCCGGCCUGAGAGGGCGACCGGCCACACUGGGACUGAGACACGGCCCAGACUCCUACGGGAGGCAGCAGUGGGGAAUCUUGCGCAAUGGGCGAAAGCCUGACGCAGCGACGCCGCGUGGGGAUGACGGCCUCGGUU
This 392-nucleotide ribosomal RNA is filed under the name uncultured bacterium. Its description in RNAcentral is "bacterial SSU rRNA". It matches the Rfam family "Bacterial small subunit ribosomal RNA", at positions 28 to 424 of the family's 1533-position model. The record is from RNAcentral.